UUUAAACCGUUGACCGAGAGAAGUAGCAGUUGGAUUGUUUUCAGAGAGUCGCUGGUUGGUGUGAAGCGACAGCAUGAUAAUUGUGAAUGGACUCGGGAGGGCAGCUUGAAAUCUUUGAAAGUAGACGCUGACGGAGACCUGAACCGUUAUCUGCAGGAGUGUAUGUUAGUACAUGAUUGAGUGGAUUACACCGUAAUCAAACAGGGUGGUACCGCAGGAGAUUUUACAACUCUUGUCCCUUUC
This 243-nucleotide non-coding RNA is filed under the name Clostridium sp. Its description in RNAcentral is "T-box sequence". It matches the Rfam family "T-box leader". Rfam says of the family: Uncharged tRNA acts as the effector for transcription antitermination of genes in the T-box leader family. Lineage: Bacteria; Bacillati; Bacillota; Clostridia; Eubacteriales; Clostridiaceae. The record is from RNAcentral.